Molecule: long non-coding RNA, 879 nt
Organism: Haliotis rubra (blacklip abalone)
Lineage: Eukaryota; Metazoa; Mollusca; Gastropoda; Lepetellida; Haliotidae
Exons: 6
Source: RefSeq, a predicted model, not a curated record
AUAGUUUUCCGGGAAACUCCUCUUAAAGCGAAAGUCGUCAGUCUUUUUACGCACUUGUGUAUCAUCUACAGUGUUCUGCCCAUUACUGCUGUUGGAAGGAAGAGUGUGAACGCGGACGAAGAUGGCUUCUUCGUAUGGUGACAUGUCUCGAGCUUUCAGGAACCUUGACAUUCAGGACGGCUAUUCUGAAGACCCAGAAGGAUCAGCCUUGAAGUAUGCCACGUUAGAUUUGAGGACCAAACACCGAAGUGUCAGGCAAACCAGACUAAACGUGACCCGUGGACAGAUGAAGAUUUUCCCCCAAGCAGAGCAGAAACAAGCUGUGCUACCCAGAAAUACGUGUGGAAAAGACCGCAUAAAUUUCUCCAGAAUCCACAACUUUUUGUUCAUGGUACUGAACGGUAUGAUGUCAAACAAAAGGGUUUGGCACGUGCUGGUUCUUAUCCAUGCUGUCAAACCUUGCUGACAAGCCUCGACUUUUGAAAAAGGUGAUCAACACUGGAUCAUACGCUCAGACAGAAGGAAUCUGUCAUUGCAAGCUGUGGAAGUUUGGAGAAUGGGUGGACAUCUAUAUCGAUGACUCUUUUCCCCUGUAUCAAGGGAAGGCCGCCCCUGAGCUCUAUGGUGCUGCGUCUUGGACAGCCUCCGACGAACUGUGGGUUUCCCUGGUGGAGAAGGCUGUAGCGAAGAUGUACGGAUCAUACUGUGUGGUAAAUGAUGGUGGUUUGCCGAGCGAGGCCUAUCUGGCCCUAACAGGAGGAGUUGCUGAGACUGUUUUGCUUGAAUCUUACACAUCCCGUCCCCACGAUCUGUUCCAACGACUUCACAAGGCACUACAGACUGGCGCAAUGGUGACAUGUGGUAUUCUUAAACAUCAUA